AGGAAGAAACAGUAGUCAUAAGGAAUCGGAGCUCUCCCGCAUCCCAACAAUAUGCUCUCCCUCAGGAGGCAAGGUGUCCCCACCCGCCUGAAUCCAGUGAGAUAUUGUUGGCAAGAGUUAUGGCUGCAAGGAGUCUCUCUCCACAUCAGCCUGAGGGCUUGCUCAUGACCUCACAAAGCUCUUCUAGGGCAGCAAGCUGAUGCUGAUUAAGAAGUCAUUCUAGGGCCAUCAGCUGAAGAGGAGGAAGAGAGGGUUGGCCGCUCACACCAAGCAAUCAGGACUGGCCUAAUGAGGCAACAGGGCCAACACACAUUUCCUGGACUUGCUAUCUCUGAACUCAUCACAAUGCAGAAAGUUUUGGACAAGCCACUUCCACACAAGGGACUGGAAUGAAGAUGCUGAGAAUCCAAUCCUCUGUGAGGAAACAAGCAGAUCACACAAGAACCACCACACCCUGCAUCCUGAUGCUUCUCACAUUAGCCAUCCUGGUGCCUCUGGGAAGCCCCCAAGCAGGGGGGAAGGGGCAGCAACCCUUCCCAGCAUCUGAUUCAGAGGGAAGCUGCCCCUGAAGAUGUCUGAAGGUUCCAUUCAGCCAUCAACAACCCUCCUCCUCCUCUGAACAUGCCAUCUAAGCCAGGGGCCAACACUACUGCUUGCAGUAAGCAAGCCCCAUGGAUUAAUCCUGCCUAUAGGAAGAAGCAUUUUCUUGUCUACUGGCAAUCAAAGUAAUCAGCCACCUGAGGUUCCAGUCUUAUGGUGGAAGGAAGUCUCCAUAUAAUCUCACCAUUUCCUAUACGCCAUGUGUAAUUUGAUAAACAUCUAUCUAGUCCC
This is a long non-coding RNA of Podarcis raffonei (Aeolian wall lizard), 831 nucleotides long. RefSeq lists it as uncharacterized. Lineage: Eukaryota; Metazoa; Chordata; Lepidosauria; Squamata; Lacertidae. The transcript is spliced from 2 exons. The record is from RefSeq and is a predicted model, not a curated record.